AGAGGGAACCCGGUGAGAAUCCGGGACUGUCCCGCAGCGGUAUGCAGGAACGACCGCCGUCAUCAGCACUGGUCCGCGGACUGGGAAGCGACGGCCAUUAGGGGCACCCCGCGGUGCGCGCCUGCGAGUCCGAAGACCU
RNAcentral lists this non-coding RNA (139 nucleotides) under Mycolicibacterium fallax. Lineage: Bacteria; Bacillati; Actinomycetota; Actinomycetes; Mycobacteriales; Mycobacteriaceae. The record is from RNAcentral.